Molecule: long non-coding RNA, 803 nt
Filed under: Anthonomus grandis grandis
Lineage: Eukaryota; Metazoa; Arthropoda; Insecta; Coleoptera; Curculionidae
Description: uncharacterized LOC126741134
Source: RNAcentral
AGUGCCAUAUAUGUAUGUAUGUUAACAUUUAGAUUUAUUUCUAAAUAUGAAAAACAUCUUUAUUUUUACCGGCACGAAAAAAGAAAACGGUUUCCGUGUUUUCGUAAAGAAUGUAAGUUGAUAUUUUCGACAUAUAGUGCAUUUAAAAGUCAUUUAAAUCGCAGUCAUUAUAAACCUGUCGUGUCAGGAACCAAACUUAAUGAAAUUAUUUACAAGUGUUCUUUAGAAAAUUGUCAGUUUGUACAAACUAACAAAAGUCAAUUUUUAAAGCAUGUUUAUAAUCACAUGAAAAAAGGAAAUGCCUUAAAAUGUAUGCCUUAAAUAAUAAUUAAAUAUGGAGUCGAAAAAAAAUUAUGCAAUCCUGACUAUGACAAAAUUAACCAAAUAGAAGGAUGUGUAAAAUUUUAUGGAAAAUAUUUUAAAGAAGACUUGUCAAAAUCAAUUUUAGUUUAUCAUGAUCAGCCGGAAAAUCCUGAACAAUUGUCUCAAUAUAUUUCAAUUUUGGCGCCUAGUAUAUUGGUGACUUCUAAGGACGAAACUAAAUAUUACAAAGUCUUUAUGGAAAAGCAAGAGAUCUAUGAGGACACAUCAUUUAUUGAAAGCCUAUUAGUGUGUUUUGGACUUUAUUCUGUAAUGAAUCUGAUUUUUCCCAAAACAGCAGCUAUAACUCUGGAGAUGUUACAAAGGUUUCAUUUAAAAAUUCAUCCUGAUUCGGGCACAAAAGCUAAAUCAACUUCAAAAGGGAAAGUUCUUACUUUGAUGAAAAAUCUUACCAAAGCAUUUUCAUAAAUUUGUUUAAAUUA